UUCCGGUUGAUCCUGCCGGACCUGACUGCUAUCGGAUUGGUACUAAGCCAUGUGAGUCGUUGUAGCAAUACAAGGCAUACGGCUCAGUAAUACGUAGUCAAUCUAACCUAUGGACGGGGAUAACCUCGGGAAACUGAGGAUAAAACCCGAUAGAUCAUAAUGCCUGGAACGGUUUAUGGUUCAAAUGAUUCGUCGCCGUAGGGUGGGACUGCGGCCUAUCAGCUUGUUGGUGAGGUAAUGGCCCACCAAGGCUAUUACAGGUACGGGCUCUGAGAGGAGUAGCCCGGAGAUGGGUACUGAGACACGGACCCAGGCCCUAUGGGGCGCAGCAGGCGAGAAACCUUUGCAAUGUGCGCAAGCACGACAAGGUUAAUCCGAGUGUUUCCUGUUAAAGGAAUCUUUUGUUAGUCGUAAAAUCACUAUUGAAUAAGGGGUGGGCAAGUUCUGGUGUCAGCGGGGCGCGGUAAAACCAGCACCUCAAGUGGUCAGGAUGAUUAUUGGGCCUAAAGCAUCCGUAGCCUGUUCUGAAAGUUUCCGGUUAAAUCCAUUAACUCAACUAAUGGGCUGCCGAAAAUACUGCAGAACUAGGGAGUGGGAGAGGUAGACGGUACUCGGUAGGAAGGGGUAAAAUCCUUUGAUCUAUUGAUGACCACCUGUGGCGAAGGCGGUCUACCAGAACACGUUCGACGGUGAGGGAUGAAAGCUGGGGGAGCAAACCGGAUUAGAUACCCGGGUAGUCCCAGCUGUAAACGAUGCAAACUCGGUGAUGCGCUGGCUUGUGGCCAGUGCAGUGCCGCAGGGAAGCUCGUUAAGUUUGCCGCCUGGGAAGUACGUACGCAAGUAUGAAACUUAAAGGAAUUGGCGGGGGAGCACCACAAGGGGUGAAGGCCUGCGGUUCAAUUGGACUCAACGC
RNAcentral lists this ribosomal RNA (913 nucleotides) under uncultured archaeon. RNAcentral describes it as "bacterial SSU rRNA". It matches the Rfam family "Archaeal small subunit ribosomal RNA", at positions 1 to 918 of the family's 1478-position model. The record is from RNAcentral.